Molecule: ribosomal RNA, 238 nt
Filed under: uncultured bacterium
Lineage: Bacteria
Description: partial 16S ribosomal RNA
Rfam family: Bacterial small subunit ribosomal RNA
Source: RNAcentral
CGGCGGACGGGUGAGUAAUGCGUGGGUAACCUGCCUCAUACAGGGGGAUAACAGUUAGAAAUGACUGCUAAUACCGCAUAAGACCACAGCACCGCAUGGUGCGGGGGUAAAAACUCCGGUGGUAUGAGAUGGACCCGCGUCUGAUUAGCUAGUUGGUAAGGUAACGGCUUACCAAGGCGACGAUCAGUAGCCGACCUGAGAGGGUGACCGGCCACAUUGGGACUGAGACACGGCCCAA